AGAUAGGAACCUUGUGGAGAGAAAGAUAGGAGCUUUGUGUGAAGACAGGGAGAGAGAGAUAGCUCACUUAAGAGAGAUAUUUUUAGAAAUGGAUGAAACUGAGCUCAUAAGACCAACAAGAACCACUGAGAACAUUAACUUUCUUUCGAGGCCAUGGAUGGUCACCUUGCUUAUCAUAGGACUCUAUGUCUCCAUUGGCACUUUUAUUGGUUUGCGCCAGUGCUGCAGAAGGUACUGCCAGAAUAGUGUGGCACCAGGGCAGCCAGACACUUCUGACAAAACCACCCGCAUGGAAGACUUGGAGGCCGCAGCCCUCCCCUAUAACCUGCCAGAUAACUGGAACACAAGCAUAAAUAUUCUAAAUGACAUGAGUAUCAGUUUCAGAAGAAUGUCAGAUAUACUUCCAUCCUCACCUCUCUAAUAUCUGAUACCCAGGAAAAGCUGUUGCAUUGGGAGAGUGUUGCCACAACAGUAAUUCACCUCCCACAAGACCACCAAGACAGAAGACAGUAUGGCUGAAAUAAAAAUUGGAAAUUAAAUAAGAUUUGAUUUGACAAAAACUUCAAAACUUCUCUCAAUAUCUACAUAGUAUUUGGAUUCAAGACAACUCAACUUCCUUGAGGAAGAAGUCCUAGCAGAACUGUGGAAUGUCAGCCUCAGGAGACACAAAGCUAAGAAUGAGGCUGAUCAAAGAACAGCAACAACUGCAGCAGUCAGUUGAUGUUGAUGUCAGCACUCCUAGCUGUUGUACUCUGUGAGUAGAGUGAAGACUGAGCAACAUUGUUCUAUUAGGCUUCUCUCCAAGAAAUCUUUCUAGUAAUUGUACAUAGGCGAACCAUUGCCCAUUCAUAAAGUAUCUCCUUAUUGAAAUUUCAAAAUUA
Long non-coding RNA from Pantherophis guttatus, 881 nucleotides. RefSeq lists it as uncharacterized. Lineage: Eukaryota; Metazoa; Chordata; Lepidosauria; Squamata; Colubridae. The record is from RefSeq and is a predicted model, not a curated record.